Molecule: ribosomal RNA, 484 nt
Filed under: uncultured bacterium
Lineage: Bacteria
Description: partial 16S ribosomal RNA
Rfam family: Bacterial small subunit ribosomal RNA
Source: RNAcentral
AGUGAACGCUGGCGGCAGGCCUAACACAUGCAAGUCGAGCGGAUGAAGGGAGCUUGCUCCUGGAUUCAGCGGCGGACGGGUGAGUAAUGCCUAGGAAUCUGCCUGGUAGUGGGGGAUAACGUCCGGAAACGGGCGCUAAUACCGCAUACGUCCUGAGGGAGAAAGUGGGGGAUCUUCGGACCUCACGCUAUCAGAUGAGCCUAGGUCGGAUUAGCUAGUUGGUGGGGUAAAGGCCUACCAAGGCGACGAUCCGUAACUGGUCUGAGAGGAUGAUCAGUCACACUGGAACUGAGACACGGUCCAGACUCCUACGGGAGGCAGCAGUGGGGAAUAUUGGACAAAGGGCGAAAGCCUGAUCCAGCCAUGCCGCGUGUGUGAAGAAGGUCUUCGGAUUGUAAAGCCCUUUAAGUUGGGAAGAAGAGCAGUAAGUUAAUACCUCGCUGUUUUGACGUUACCAAAAGAAUAAGCACCGGCUAACUUCGUG